This 72-nucleotide transfer RNA is filed under the name Urnula craterium. Its description in RNAcentral is "tRNA-Trp". It matches the Rfam family "tRNA". Rfam says of the family: Transfer RNA (tRNA) molecules are approximately 80 nucleotides in length. Lineage: Eukaryota; Fungi; Ascomycota; Pezizomycetes; Pezizales; Sarcosomataceae. The record is from RNAcentral.
AAGAGUAUAAUUUAAUUGGUAAAAUAGGAAGCUUCAACCUUUUAUAUCUCAGUUCAAUUCUGAGUGCUCUUG